Molecule: non-coding RNA, 73 nt
Organism: Podarcis lilfordi (Lilford's wall lizard)
Lineage: Eukaryota; Metazoa; Chordata; Lepidosauria; Squamata; Lacertidae
Source: the annotation of a GenBank genome assembly
GCCUGUAUAGCUCAGUCAGCAGAGCAUGAGAUUCUUAAUCUCAGGGUUGUGGGUUUGAGCCCCACGUUAGGCA